This is a long non-coding RNA of Oncorhynchus tshawytscha (Chinook salmon), 2083 nucleotides long. NCBI's taxonomy places the organism in Eukaryota, Metazoa, Chordata, Actinopteri, Salmoniformes, Salmonidae. The record is from Ensembl.
UUUUAAUGCUUUUGUACGCGGGGCGCUGUCCUCAGAUAAUCACAUGGUAUGCUUUCACCACAAAGCCUUUUUGAAAUCUGACAAAGCGUCUGGAUUAACAAGAAGAUGUAACCAAUGUAUAACACUUGUAUUUUCAUCACUGGAUGUUGUUGAGGCCGGGCGCUAGCGGUAUGCCUUUCCCAAGGAGGCUAGCAUUGGAUGUGCUCGUGGAAACAGAACAACUUAUUUACAAUUUACAGGUGAAGUGUAGUACUGCUGGUAGUAGUAGUACCACCAGUAGAGCUGGUAUGUGUCUCUGGACGCGGGCCUUACUUUUUUAACCAUUUAUCCAUUUUCAAGCAAACGGAAUGAGCAGCAGAUACGUUUGGCUACAUAUGGACUGUUAGUGGAAUUCCUGCGAGAGGAACGAUCUCAGUGAUUGGCUACACUCCAGUACGUAUGAGAGAUUUCCGCCUCCGGAACGAGCUCAGUGAUUGGCUACACUCCAGUACGUAUGAGAGAUUUCUGCCUCCGGAACGAGCUCAGUGAUUGGCUACACUCCAGAAGGAGAUACAGACAAGGCAGAACAUCUAAAAAGGAAGCUGAUAAAUCGGAGCAGGGUGACGGUUGGACUUCCUCCCCUCAGAGUGGAUUUCCCCUCCCUAACCUUGGGAAAGAGAUGCCACGUGCUCCACAGUUAGAGGUUCCACAUCUCUCUGACGAAGACCCUCUGCCAUGUUACCACCACCAACCUUCCACUGUGCCAGACUGCUGACUAGGUCAAGCCAACCAGGAGAGUAAUUGGGAGAGAAUAUCACUGCCCCAGCCAAUGCCAGACAGACAGACAGAUCAAGAUGACCUGGGAAAUCCAUUUGGGCAUUGGCUUACAUCACCUCUCCACACGGGAUCCAGUGAGGGGCCACAGGGAUGUGGAACAAUUGUUGCAGAUCAUGGAAUUCCCAUCGGUUGGAGCUUCCCGCCUGUUUCGUGGUGGAGCUAAAAGUAGCAUCUGCCAUCGUUCAGUCAGAGCAUCAAACUCUCCGAUUAGUUUCCUUCUCCUGACCCAUAAAGUUAGGGGAGCUGUGAAUGUUCUUCUCUCUGUACACUCACUGAGAUGUUUCACAUUGUGUAUAAACCCCAUGACAAACGGUAAGAUGGCGCUUGUCUGUUCUCUUUGAAGAGACUGUGUGGAGAUGGAUUGCACAGGCUCUGCUAUCUGACAGCUAGCUGGGCCUCUAAGUUCACAGUGUUACAGAAAAGCUGGAACAAGCGUGUGGACAUGGAGAAAACACACACUGAAAGACCAUCCCACAGAGAACUAGAAAGAUGUAGAAUGUACUGGAUGAAAUUUCCUAGUCUUUACAACUGACAUGGAGUCAGUCCAAGACACUCACCUUGAACUCUAAAUGGUACACUUCUGUUGUUCCUCUCAUUACCAUUCCUGUCAAGUCCUGUGUUCAUACUGGGAUUAGUACAUAGUUCUCACACCCAUAGGCGGAUGUCAUGAGCAAGACAUAGGUCAAAAGGUUGAAUGUUGUCUGUGUUGUAGGGGUACGGUGUUUAAAAAUGAUUUCUGUCAGAUGUCUGUCUACCUGCUGAAAUCCAAGUUCAGAAGACGUUGCUCUGCUCAGAAUGUAGCAGUUGAGGCAACACUCCCAAAGCAGUACAAAUGUAACAUUUGUUGUGGAGAAAAUAAAUCUGAGCUGUCCGAUACAUUUUAUGCAUAUUGUUGUUCAAAUUUCAGUGAUACAUUUCUGUAGACAAUGAGCAAAAAGCAUCCCUCAAUCGUACAGAGUGCACCUUUCACCAUACCAAGGGUACACACCAAUAACGACCCCAGGUGGCUAAGCAACACACAAACCAGUCCUUCAUUAACCAGUCACUAAGGUUGCUGAGGUGGCAAGUCGCUAAGGUCUGAACUCCAGCUCAAAGGUCAUGCCACAUGACAGCUGCAUUUCCUACAUGUUUUCACAGGUUCUCUAAUCACUGUAGAUUGACAACAGCACAGACGGUCCCAUUCAACCUCCCUGCCUGCCUCUCCCUCAGAUGCCUAGAUUAAACAAACACCCGUGGCCCGUCCUCACAGUCCUGAGUUGCAGCUCCC